Molecule: ribosomal RNA, 1293 nt
Filed under: freshwater metagenome
Description: bacterial LSU rRNA
Rfam family: Bacterial large subunit ribosomal RNA
Source: RNAcentral
AAAAUUGGCUAAGUGGGAAACGAAGUGGGAAGGCUAAAACAGUCAGGAUGUUGGCUUAGAAGCAGCCAUCAUUUAAAGAAAGCGUAAUAGCUCACUGAUCGAGUCGUCCUGCGCGGAAGAUGUAACGGGGCUAAGCCAGUUACCGAAGCUGCGGAUUUGCAAUUUAUUGCAAGUGGUAGGAGAGCGUUCUGUAAGCCUGUGAAGGUGUCUUGUAAAGGAUGCUGGAGGUAUCAGAAGUGCGAAUGCUGACAUGAGUAGCGUUAAAGGGGGUGAAAAGCCCCCUCGCCGUAAGCGCAAGGUUUCCUACGCAACGUUCAUCGGCGUAGGGUGAGUCGGCCCCUAAGGCGAGGCAGAGAUGCGUAGCUGAUGGGAAACAGGUCAAUAUUCCUGUACCGAUUACAAGUGCGAUGUGGGGACGGAGAAGGUUAGCUCAGCCAACUGUUGGAAUAGUUGGUUCAAGCCUGUAGUCGUGCCUGGUAGGCAAAUCCGCCGGGCUAAGAUGAGGGGUGAUAACGAGGCUGCUUGCAGCCGAAGUGAGUGAUACCCUGCUUCCAGGAAAAGCCACUAAGCUUCAGCUUGUAAUUGACCGUACCGCAAACCGACACUGGUGCGCGAGAUGAGUAUUCUAAGGCGCUUGAGAGAACUCUGGAGAAGGAACUCGGCAAAUUGACACCGUAACUUCGGAAGAAGGUGUGCCUUUAGUAGGUGAAGUCCCUCGCGGAUGGAGCCCAACGGGGUUGCAAAAAAUCGGUGGCUGCGACUGUUUAUUAAAAACACAGCACUCUGCAAACACGAAAGUGGACGUAUAGGGUGUGACGCCUGCCCGGUGCUGGAAGAUUAAUUGAUGGGGUGCAAGCUCUUGAUCGAAGUCCCAGUAAACGGCGGCCGUAACUAUAACGGUCCUAAGGUAGCGAAAUUCCUUGUCGGGUAAGUUCCGACCUGCACGAAUGGCGUAACGAUGGCCACACUGUCUCCUCCAGAGACUCAGCGAAGUUGAAAUGUUUGUGAUGAUGCAAUCUCCCCGCGGAAAGACGGAAAGACCCCAUGAACCUUUACUGUAGCUUUGUAUUGGACUUUGAACAGAUCUGUGUAGGAUAGGUGGGAGGCUUUGAAGCAGGGUCGCUAGAUUCUGUGGAGCCAACGUUGAAAUACCACCCUGGUGUGUUUGAGGUUCUAACCUAGGUCCCUUAUCGGGAUCGGGGACAGUGCAUGGUAGGCAGUUUGACUGGGGCGGUCUCCUCCCAAAGUGUAACGGAGGAGUUCGAAGGUACGCUAGGUACGGUCGGACAUCGU